Molecule: ribosomal RNA, 527 nt
Filed under: uncultured bacterium
Lineage: Bacteria
Description: bacterial SSU rRNA
Rfam family: Bacterial small subunit ribosomal RNA
Source: RNAcentral
CAAGCGAAAGCAUUAAGUGAACCACCUGGGGAGUACGAUCGCAAGGUUGAAACUCAAAGGAAUUGACGGGGGCCCGCACAAGCGGAGGAACAUGUGGUUUAAUUCGAUGAUACGCGAGGAACCUUACCUGGGCUUAAAUGUAGAACGACAGAUUGUGAAAGCAGUCCUUCUUCGGACGUUUUACAAGGUGCUGCAUGGUUGUCGUCAGCUCGUGCCGUGAGGUGUCGGGUUAAGUCCCAUAACGAGCGCAACCCUUAUCGUUAGUUGCCAGCGGGUCAUGCCGGGGACUCUAGCGAGACUGCCACCGUAAGGUGUGAGGAAGGUGGGGAUGACGUCAAAUCAGCACGGCCCUUAUGUNCAGGGCUACACACGUGUUACAAUGGCCGAUACAAAGGGCAGCUACCCCGUGAGGGGAUGCUAAUCUCUAAAGUCGGUCUCAGUUCGGAUCGAAGUCUGCAACCCGACUUCGUGAAGCUGGAUUCGCUAGUAAUCGCAUAUCAGCCAUGAUGCGGUGAAUACGUUCCCGG